UGCCCUGCACUUUGGGAUAAGCCUGGGAAACUGGGUCUAAUACCGAAUAGGACCACGCGCUUCAUGGUGUGUGGUGGAAAGCUUUUGCGGUGUGGGAUGGGCCCGCGGCCUAUCAGCUUGUUGGUGGGGUAAUGGCCUACCAAGGCGACGACGGGUAGCCGGCCUGAGAGGGUGACCGGCCACACUGGGACUGAGAUACGGCCCAGACUCCUACGGGAGGCAGCAGUGGGGAAUAUUGCACAAUGGGCGCAAGCCUGAUGCAGCGACGCCGCGUGAGGGAUGACGGCCUUCGGGUUGUAAACCUCUUUCAAUAGGGACGAAGCGCAAGUGACGGUACCUAUAGAAGAAGCACCGGCCAACUACGUGCCAGCAGCCGCGGUAAUACGUAGGGUGCGAGCGUUGUCCGGAAUUACUGGGCGUAAAGAGCUCGUAGGUGGUUUGUCGCGUUGUUCGUGAAAACUCACAGCUUAACUGUGGGCGUGCGGGCGAUACGGGCAGACUAGAGUACUGCAGGGGAGACUGGAAUUCCUGGUGUAGCGGUGGAAUGCGCAGAUAUCAGGAGGAACACCGGUGGCGAAGGCGGGUCUCUGGGCAGUAACUGACGCUGAGGAGCGAAAGCGUGGGGAGCGAACAGGAUUAGAUACCCUGGUAGUCCACGCCGUAAACGGUGGGUACUAGGUGUGGGUUCCUUCCUUGGGAUCCGUGCCGUAGCUAACGCAUUAAGUACCCCGCCUGGGGAGUACGGCCGCAA
Molecule: ribosomal RNA, 751 nt
Filed under: uncultured bacterium
Lineage: Bacteria
Description: bacterial SSU rRNA
Rfam family: Bacterial small subunit ribosomal RNA
Source: RNAcentral